Molecule: ribosomal RNA, 254 nt
Filed under: uncultured bacterium
Lineage: Bacteria
Description: partial 16S ribosomal RNA
Rfam family: Bacterial small subunit ribosomal RNA
Source: RNAcentral
UACGGGGGGAGCAAGCGUUGUUCGGAUUUACUGGGCGUAAAGGGCGCGUAGGCGGCCACCGCAAGUCGACUGUGAAAUCUCCGGGCUUAACCCGGAAAGGUCAGCCGAUACUGGAAGGCUCGAGUGCGGGAGAGGGAUGUGGAAUUCCAGGUGUAGCGGUGAAAUGCGUAGAUAUCUGGAGGAACACCGGUGGCGAAGGCGGCAUCCUGGACCGACACUGACGCUGAGGCGCGAAAGCCAGGGGAGCAAACGGG